This 323-nucleotide long non-coding RNA is filed under the name Bos taurus (domestic cattle). RNAcentral describes it as "long non-coding RNA NONBTAT004243". Lineage: Eukaryota; Metazoa; Chordata; Mammalia; Artiodactyla; Bovidae. The record is from RNAcentral.
CUUGAAGGUAGUUUAGAGAGUGGAAAACCAAAGAGCUAGGAAAGUGAGCAAGAAAUUGUAACCCGACAGCCAUAGACAAAUGGGGAAAGCUGAGAAGUUAAUUUAGUCACAGUAAAGAUACACGAAUUUUAGGCAACGCACUGAAAUGAAAUGACACUUGAAAAGUAUGGGAGAUUUGUACAGAGAUCUGACAUCUUGAUCUCCUUCAUCUGUACUGGUUCCCAGUUGUCAUCUCCCGUCAGCAUCCUAGAGAUUCCCUUUGUCUUUCCAACGUCAGGUCUAUUUCUAGUUAAAUCCCCUUAUUUCUCCUUUCAUUAAUUUAC